GUAGGUUGCUGCUGGCCACUUCGGGGGCAAAUGUGCACGCCUAUCUCGGGUCUUCCCCCACUUCCUUCAUCCUCCUGUGCAUUUUCUGUGGUCUUUGCCCUUUGGGUAUUCCAAGGGGUCGAGUCAUGUCUCACUAUUACACAAGUGUUAAUGGAGUGUGUCUAUGCAUUAUUAAUACAACUUUCAGCAACGGAUCUCUUGGCUCUCGCAUCGAUGAAGAACGCAGCGAAAUGCGAUAAGUAAUGUGAAUUGCAGAAUUCAGUGAAUCAUCGAAUUUUUGAACGCACCUUGCACUCCUUGGUAUUCCGGGGAGUAUGCCUGUUUGAGUGUCAGUUGAUUAUUAGCUCUGCCAGUGGUUUGUCCCUGGCAGAUGUCUGAAGUGGAGUGUGUGCUGGCUCUUCAGUGGGUUUGGCUACUCUGAAAUGCAUUGGUGGGAGCUAUUUAUUUAUUUGCUUGCCAAAUGGGUGUGAUAAUAUCUGCAUCCAGUGAGCUUGCUGGUAAUCUCCUGCCCAGCAGCAGCAGCUGUUUGUGUGACCGCAAGGCACCUUAAUUGACUCACGGCCUCAAAUCAGGUGGGAGUACCCGCUGAACUUAAGCCUAUCAAU
Molecule: ribosomal RNA, 605 nt
Filed under: Leucocoprinus sp. Tsp1_8
Lineage: Eukaryota; Fungi; Basidiomycota; Agaricomycetes; Agaricales; Agaricaceae
Description: eukaryotic LSU rRNA
Rfam family: 5.8S ribosomal RNA (bases 179-332)
Source: RNAcentral